CCGUUCGCUUCAAUGUCGGGUUUUAAUUUAAGGCUUCGGCAUUUAUUAUAAACAUUCUUU
This 60-nucleotide transfer RNA is filed under the name Proteomonas sulcata. The record is from RNAcentral. Lineage: Eukaryota; Cryptophyceae; Pyrenomonadales; Geminigeraceae.